GACGAACGCUGGCGGCGUGCUUAACACAUGCAAGUCGAACGGUAAGGCCCUUCGGGGUACACGAGUGGCUAACGGGUGAGUAACACGUGGGUGAUCUGCCCGUCACUUCGGGAUAAGCCUGGGAAACUGGGUCUAAUACCGGAUAGGACCACUGCCUGCAUGGGUGGUGGUGGAAAGCUUUUGCGGUGUGGGAUGGGCCCGCGGCCUAUCAGCUUGUUGGUGGGGUGAUGGCCUACCAAGGCGACGACGGGUAGCCGGCCUGAGAGGGUGACCGGCCACACUGGGACUGAGAUACGGCCCAGACUCCUACGGGAGGCAGCAGUGGGGAAUAUUGCACAAUGGGCGCAAGCCUGAUGCAGCGACGCCGCGUGAGGGAUGACGGCCUUCGGGUUGUAAACCUCUUUCAGCACCGACGAAGCGCAAGUGACGGUAGGUGCAGAAGAAGGACCGGCCAACUACGUGCCAGCCGCCGCAGUAA
RNAcentral lists this ribosomal RNA (478 nucleotides) under uncultured bacterium. Its description in RNAcentral is "partial 16S ribosomal RNA". It matches the Rfam family "Bacterial small subunit ribosomal RNA", at positions 28 to 523 of the family's 1533-position model. The record is from RNAcentral.